Molecule: ribosomal RNA, 450 nt
Filed under: uncultured bacterium
Lineage: Bacteria
Description: partial 16S ribosomal RNA
Rfam family: Bacterial small subunit ribosomal RNA
Source: RNAcentral
GUAGGGAAUCUUCGGCAAUGGACGAAAGUCUGACCGAGCAACGCCGCGUGAGUGAAGAAGGUUUUCGGAUCGUAAAACUCUGUUGGUAGAGAAGAACGUUGGUGAGAGUGGAAAGCUCAUCAAGUGACGGUAUCUAACCAGAAAGGGACGGCUAACUACGUGCCAGCAGCCGCGGUAAUACGUAGGUCCCAAGCGUUGUCCGGAUUUAUUGGGCGUAAAGCGAGCGCAGGUGGUUUAUUAAGUCUGGUGUAAAAGGCAGUGGCUCAACCAUUGUAUGCAUUGGAAACUGGUAGACUUGAGUGCAGGAGAGGAGAGUGGAAUUCCAUGUGUAGCGGUGAAAUGCGUAGAUAUAUGGAGGAACACCGGUGGCGAAAGCGGCUCUCUGGCCUGUAACUGACACUGAGGCUCGAAAGCGUGGGGAGCAAACAGGAUUAGAUACCCGGGUAGUCC